Molecule: ribosomal RNA, 319 nt
Filed under: uncultured eukaryote
Lineage: Eukaryota
Description: partial 18S ribosomal RNA
Rfam family: Eukaryotic small subunit ribosomal RNA
Source: RNAcentral
CCCUUAGAUGAUUUGGGCUGCACGCGCGCUACACUGACCCUAACAAUGAGCAACUGUCUGGCCUGAGAUGGCUGGGUAGCCUUUUCAACCCAUGUCAUGAUUGGGCUAGAUUUUUGUAAGUCUUGAUCUCUAACGAGGAAUCCCUAGUCUGCGUGAAUCAUCAAUCCAUGCAGAUUAUGUCCCUGCCCUUUGUACACACCGCCCGUCGCUCCUACUGAUUGGGUGAUCCGGUGAGCUGUUCGGCCAUAGCAAUGUUUCUUGAGCAGGGCAAUGAAUGUUUCGCAAACCUUGCCACUUAGAGGAAGGAGAAGUCGUAACA